RNAcentral lists this ribosomal RNA (252 nucleotides) under Triticum aestivum (bread wheat). RNAcentral's name for it is "partial small subunit ribosomal RNA". The record is from RNAcentral. Lineage: Eukaryota; Viridiplantae; Streptophyta; Magnoliopsida; Poales; Poaceae.
AGCAUUCGCACGGGUUCAUAUACACAAGAUGAGGACAAGUUGAUUUGCCAAGCUUGGAUGGAGAUUAGCCAAGAUCCGAGGACCGGCGCGCAACAAAAGGGCAUUGUUUUUUGGACGAGAGUCCACAAAACAUUCCAUGAAAGGAAGAUAUUUGAGCCCUACCAAAUUACAAGCAACCAUGGCAUCGGCUCGAUUCAAAAAAGAUGGUUGUUCAUCCAACAAGAGUGCAACAAGUAUUGCAUCGCAUUUUAG